Molecule: ribosomal RNA, 320 nt
Filed under: Streptomyces nogalater
Lineage: Bacteria; Bacillati; Actinomycetota; Actinomycetes; Kitasatosporales; Streptomycetaceae
Description: bacterial SSU rRNA
Rfam family: Bacterial small subunit ribosomal RNA
Source: RNAcentral
UAUGAAACUGGGGUGCAUGUUCCUGUAUCUCAAGCUCCGGCGGUGUUGGAUCAGCCCACGGCCUAUCAGCUAGUUGGUGGGGUAGAGGCCUACCAAGGCGACGACGGGUAGUUGGCCUGAGAGGGCGACCGGCCCCCCUGGGACUGAGACACGGGCCAGACUCCUACGGGAGGCAGCAGUGGGGAAUAUUGCACAAUGGGCGAAAGCCUGAUGCAGCGACGCCGCGUGCGGGAUGACGGCCUUCGGGUUGUAAACCUCUUUCAGCAGGGAAGAAGCUUUCUGGUGACGGUACCUGCAGUAAAAGCACCGGCUAACUACGU